GCUCACGUGUCAAUUUCCAAACUCAUUCAACCUUCUUGAUUUUGAAUUUCUCUUUUUUCAACUCCAAAUCCCUACCACAUUCACUCACAUAUAAAAUGCAAUGAGGCGGAUAUCAAUACUCGUAUUCGUGUUAUAUUUCAAUAAUACCG
Caenorhabditis elegans is the source of this 149-nucleotide non-coding RNA. The record is from Ensembl. NCBI's taxonomy places the organism in Eukaryota, Metazoa, Nematoda, Chromadorea, Rhabditida, Rhabditidae.